GUUAAAACUGUGAAACCUAUUAAAAAGAAAUGUUUCUGCAGACAGAUGAUACACCAUAUUAAGAGGAAGAGCUGAGCUUCUACCUCACUGAAUUCCUGGGGAGAGCAGCCGAAGUGGUUCUGAAUAUGUGUCCCUGUAGGAAAAACCUGUAGCCUGGUGGUGAAAUUGUGCUGAUCAACUAUGGGAGCUCAAAGUUGUUCUCCUAAAAGCUGCCACUGCUGACAGGUUGAAAACCGAGG
Chiroxiphia lanceolata (lance-tailed manakin) is the source of this 239-nucleotide long non-coding RNA. RefSeq lists it as uncharacterized. The transcript has 4 exons. The record is from RefSeq and is a predicted model, not a curated record. Lineage: Eukaryota; Metazoa; Chordata; Aves; Passeriformes; Pipridae.